RNAcentral lists this ribosomal RNA (378 nucleotides) under uncultured bacterium. RNAcentral describes it as "bacterial SSU rRNA". It matches the Rfam family "Bacterial small subunit ribosomal RNA", at positions 524 to 898 of the family's 1533-position model. The record is from RNAcentral.
CACGUAGGGGGCGAGCGUUGUCCGGAAUCAUUGGGCGUAAAGAGCUCGUAGGCGGCUCGGUAAGUCGGGUGUGAAACCCCCAGGCUCAACCUGGGGACGCCACCCGAUACUGCUGUGGCUAGAGUCCAGUAGGGGAGUGUGGAAUUCCCGGUGUAGCGGUGAAAUGCGCAGAUAUCGGGAGGAACACCAGCGGCGAAGGCGGCACUCUGGGCUGGAACUGACGCUGAGGAGCGAAAGCGUGGGUAGCAAACAGGAUUAGAUACCCUGGUAGUCCACGCCGUAAACGUUGGGCACUAGGUGUGGGGACCCUCCAACGGUUUCCGUGCCGUAGCUAACGCAUUAAGUGCCCCGCCUGGGGAGUACGGCCGCAAGGCUAAA